AGAGUUUGAUCCUGGCUCAGGACGAACGCUGGCGGCGUGCCUAACACAUGCAAGUCGAACGGAGUUACGGGAGCUUGCUCCUGUAACUUAGUGGCGGACGGGUGAGUAACGCGUGAGCAACCUGCCUUACAGAGGGGGAUAGCCAUUGGAAACGAUGGAUAAUACCGCAUAACGUAUGGACAUGGCAUCAUGAACAUACCAAAGGAGCAAUCCGGACUGUAAGAUGGGGCUCGCGUCCGAUUAGAUAGUUGCGGGGUAACGGCCCGACCAAGUCGACGAUCGGUAGCCGGACUGAGAGGUUGAACGGCCACAUUGGGACUGAGACACGGCCCAGACUCCUACGGGAGGCAGCAGUGAGGGAUAUUGCACAAUGGGCGAAAGCCUGAUGCAGCAACGCCGCGUGAGGGAAGACGGUUUUCGGAUUGUAAACCUCUGUUCUAAGUGAAGAUAAUGACAUUAGCUUAGGAGAAAGCCCACGGCUAACUACGUGCC
This 492-nucleotide ribosomal RNA is filed under the name uncultured organism. RNAcentral's name for it is "SSU rRNA". It matches the Rfam family "Bacterial small subunit ribosomal RNA", at positions 8 to 509 of the family's 1533-position model. The record is from RNAcentral.